This 107-nucleotide small nuclear RNA is filed under the name Dasypus novemcinctus (nine-banded armadillo). Lineage: Eukaryota; Metazoa; Chordata; Mammalia; Cingulata; Dasypodidae. The record is from RNAcentral.
GCGCUCACUUUGGCAGCACAUAUACUAAAAUUGCAAUGAUAUAGAGAAGGUUAGCAUGGUCCCUGUGCAAAGAUGACAUGCAAAUUUGUGAAGCAUUUCAUAUUUUU